UUUUACCCCGCUGGAAAUUAAGCAUAUCAAUAAGCGGAGGAAAAGAAACCAACAGGGAUUGCCCCAGUAACGGCGAGUGAAGCGGCAACAGCUCAAAUUUGAAAUCUGGCGCAAGCCCGAGUUGUAAUUUGUAGAGGAUGCUUCUGGCCAGCGGCCGUUCUAAGUUCCUUGGAACAGGACGUCAUAGAGGGUGAGAAUCCCGUAUGUGACCGGCGCGCAGCCUUUACGUAGCUCCUUCGACGAGUCGAGUUGUUUGGGAAUGCAGCUCUAAAUGGGAGGUAAAUUUCUUCUAAAGCUAAAUACCGGCCAGAGACCGAUAGCGCACAAGUAGAGUGAUCGAAAGAUGAAAAGCACUUUGGAAAGAGAGUUAAAAAGCACGUGAAAUUGUUGAAAGGGAAGCGCUUGCAACCAGACUUCGUAGCGGUGUUCCGCCGGUCUUCUGACCGGUCUACUCAUCGUCGCGAGGCCAACAUCGUCUGGGACCGCUGGAUAAGACCUAAGGAAUGUAGCUUCCCUCGGGAAGUGUUAUAGCCUGUGGUGAUGCAGCGCGUCUCGGGCGAGGUCCGCGCUUCGGCAAGGAUGUUGGCGUAAUGGUUGUCAGCGGCCCGUCUUGAAACACGGACCAAGGAGUCUAACAUCUAUGCGAGUGUUCGGGUGUCAAACCCCUACGCGUAAUGAAAGUGAACGGAGGUGGGAAGCGCAAGCUGCACCAUCGACCGAUCCUGAUGUCCUCGGAUGGAUUUGAGUAAGAGCAUAGCUGUUGGGACCCGAAAGAUGGUGAACUAUGCCUGAAUAGGGUGAAGCCAGAGGAAACUCUGGUGGAGGCUCGCAGCGGUUCUGACGUGCAAAUCGAUCGUCAAAUUUGGGUAUAGGGGCGAAAGACUAAUCGAACCAUCUAGUAGCUGGUUCCUGCCGAAGUUUCCCUCAGGAAA
RNAcentral lists this ribosomal RNA (932 nucleotides) under Mycosphaerellaceae sp. NT-2020a. RNAcentral's name for it is "partial large subunit ribosomal RNA". It matches the Rfam family "Eukaryotic large subunit ribosomal RNA", at positions 24 to 980 of the family's 3401-position model. The record is from RNAcentral. Lineage: Eukaryota; Fungi; Ascomycota; Dothideomycetes; Mycosphaerellales; Mycosphaerellaceae.